CAGAGAUAGCUCGCUAUCUGCUGACGAGCGGCGGACGGGUGAGUAAUGCUUGGGAAUAUGCCUUAUGGUGGGGGACAACAGUUGGAAACGACUGCUAAUACCGCAUAACGUCUACGGACCAAAGGGGGGGAUUCUUCGGAACCUCUCGCCAUUUGAUUAGCCCAAGUGAGAUUAGCUAGUUGGUGAGGUAAUGGCUCACCAAGGCGACGAUCUCUAGCUGGUUUGAGAGGAUGAUCAGCCACACUGGGACUGAGACACGGCCCAGACUCCUACGGGAGGCAGCAGUGGGGAAUAUUGCACAAUGGGCGAAAGCCUGAUGCAGCCAUGCCGCGUGUGUGAAGAAGGCCUUCGGGUUGUAAAGCACUUUCAGUUGUGAGGAAAGGGGUGUAGUUAAUAGCUACAUUCUGUGACGUUAACAACAGAAGAAGCACCGGCUAACUCCGUGCCAGCAGCCGCGGUAAUACGGAGGGUGCGAGCGUUAAUCGGAAUUACUGGGCGUAAAGCGUGCGUAGGCGGUUUGUUAAGCAAGAUGUGAAAGCCCAGGGCUCAACCUUGGAACUGCAUUUUGAACUGGCAAACUAGAGUACUGUAGAGGGUGGUGGAAUUUCCAGUGUAGCGGUGAAAUGCGUA
Molecule: ribosomal RNA, 630 nt
Filed under: uncultured Colwellia sp.
Lineage: Bacteria; Pseudomonadati; Pseudomonadota; Gammaproteobacteria; Alteromonadales; Colwelliaceae
Description: bacterial SSU rRNA
Rfam family: Bacterial small subunit ribosomal RNA
Source: RNAcentral